ACUUAAGCAUAUCAAUAAGCGGAGGAAAAGAAACCAACAGGGAUUGCCUCAGUAACGGCGAGUGAAGCGGCAACAGCUCAAAUUUUAAAGCUGGCGUCUUCGGCGUCCGCAUUGUAAUUUGGAGAGGCAUCUUCGGUUUGGGCGCCAGCCUAUGUUCCUUGGAACAGGACGUCACAGAGGGUGAGAAUCCCGUGCUUGGCCGGCUGUCCCAUUCCAUGUGAAGUGUCUUCGACGAGUCGAGUUGUUUGGGAAUGCAGCUCAAAAUGGGUGGUAAAUUUCAUCUAAAGCUAAAUAUUGGUGGGAGACCGAUAGCGCACAAGUAGAGUGAUCGAAAGAUGAAAAGCACUUUGAAAAUAGAGUUAAAAAGUACGUGAAAUUGUUGAAAGGGAAGCGCUUGAGACCAGACUCGGCYGGGGAUGAUCAGCUGUCCUUCUGGGCAGUGCACUUGUCUCUGGUCGGGCCAGCAUCGGUUGAGACGGYGGGACAAAGGCUUCGGGAACGUGGCUCCUUUCGGGGAGUGUUAUAGCCCGUCGCGUAAUGCCGCCAGCCUCGACCGAGGACCGCGCUUCGGCUAGGAUGCUGGCGUAAUGGUCUUCAGCGACCCGUCUUGAAACACGGACCAAGGAGUCUAACAUCUAUGCGAGUGUUUGGGUGUCAAACCCUUGCGCGAAAUGAAAGUGAACGGAGGUGGGAACCCGCAAGGGUGCACCAUCGACCGGUCCUGAUGUCUUCGGAUGGAUCUGAGUAGGAGCAUAGCUGUUGGGACCCGAAAGAUGGUGAACUAUGCCUGAAUAGGGUGAAGCCAGAGGAAACUCUGGUGGAGGCUCGCAGCGGUUCUGACGUGCAAAUCGAUCGUCAAAUUUGGGUAUAGGGGCGAAAGACUAAUCGAACCAUCUAGUAGCUGGUUCCUGCCGAAGUUYCCC
This 923-nucleotide ribosomal RNA is filed under the name Disciotis venosa. Its description in RNAcentral is "eukaryotic LSU rRNA". It matches the Rfam family "Eukaryotic large subunit ribosomal RNA", at positions 32 to 972 of the family's 3401-position model. Lineage: Eukaryota; Fungi; Ascomycota; Pezizomycetes; Pezizales; Morchellaceae. The record is from RNAcentral.